CCGCGGCGCAUUAGCUAGUUGGUGAGGUAAGGGCUCACCAAGGCGACGAUGCGUAGCCGACCUGAGAGGGUGAUCGGCCACAUUGGGACUGAGACACGGCCCAGACUCCUACGGGAGGCAGCAGUGGGGAAUAUUGCACAAUGGGGGAAACCCUGAUGCAGCAACGCCGCGUGAGUGAUGACGGCCUUCGGGUUGUAAAGCUCUGUCUUCAGGGACGAUAAUGACGGUACCUGAGGAGGAAGCCACGGCUAACUACGUGCCAGCAGCCGCGGUAAUACGUAGGUGGCGAGCGUUAUCCGGAUUUACUGGGCGUAAAGGAUGCGUAGGUGGAAUUUUAAGUGGGAUGUGAAAUACCCGGGCUCAACCUGGGAACUGCAUUCCAAACUGGAAUUCUAGAGUGCAGGAGAGGAAAGCGGAAUUCCUAGUGUAGCGGUGAAAUGCGUAGAGAUUA
RNAcentral lists this ribosomal RNA (451 nucleotides) under uncultured Clostridium sp. RNAcentral's name for it is "bacterial SSU rRNA". It matches the Rfam family "Bacterial small subunit ribosomal RNA", at positions 231 to 699 of the family's 1533-position model. Lineage: Bacteria; Bacillati; Bacillota; Clostridia; Eubacteriales; Clostridiaceae. The record is from RNAcentral.